GCUGAAGAAGGACAGAACUGUGGAAGUGUCACCAUGGCUGUUGGGUGCCUUGAGCUGAGGCCCGUUGGUUCCUGGUUGUUUUGGUUAACAAGGCAGAAGUUCCACAGCAACCUUUCUUACUCACAAUGAAAUGCUCCAGGAGAUGGAAUGCUGUAUUGUGAAAACCAGCAAAUAUGAAAACCAUUUGUGAAAGGACUCUGCAGAAGGAGAGAUGCUGCAACCCUCUGACCAUCUUUGUGGUGACUCCUCUGGACUCACUCCAGCAGAUCUGUGUGCUUCUUAUGUUGGAAACCCCAGAGCUGGUUGGCACAGUGCUGCAGCACAGAGUGCAUUAUCACUGACAUGGAACACAAAUGGACUUCAGUCAAGUUCCAACUUUAAGCACUGGGUCUG
Non-coding RNA from Zonotrichia albicollis (white-throated sparrow), 393 nucleotides. The record is from RefSeq and is a predicted model, not a curated record. NCBI's taxonomy places the organism in Eukaryota, Metazoa, Chordata, Aves, Passeriformes, Passerellidae.